UACGAGUGCCUCGAGCGUUAUCCGGAAUUAUUGGGCGUAAAGCGCACGUAGGCGGCUUGGUAAGUUGGAUGUGAAAUCCCCGGGCUUAACUUGGGAAUUGCAUUCAAGACUGCCUUGCUGGAGUGUUGGAGAGGAAAGCGGAAUUCCAGGUGUAGCGGUGAAAUGCGUAGAUAUCUGGAGGAACAUCAGUGGCGAAGGCGGCUUUCUGGCCAAACACUGACGCUGAGGUGCGAAAGCGUGGGGAGCAAACAGG
RNAcentral lists this ribosomal RNA (253 nucleotides) under uncultured prokaryote. RNAcentral's name for it is "partial 16S ribosomal RNA". It matches the Rfam family "Bacterial small subunit ribosomal RNA", at positions 524 to 776 of the family's 1533-position model. The record is from RNAcentral.